GAGCCGUUAGCUCAGUCGGUAGAGCAUCUGACUUUUAAUCAGAGGGUCAACAGUUCGAACCUGUUACGGCUCA
The sequence is a transfer RNA, 73 nucleotides long. It matches the Rfam family "tRNA". From Rfam's summary of the family: Transfer RNA (tRNA) molecules are approximately 80 nucleotides in length. Their secondary structure includes four short double-helical elements and three loops (D, anti-codon, and T loops). The record is from Rfam.